Molecule: ribosomal RNA, 253 nt
Filed under: uncultured bacterium
Lineage: Bacteria
Description: partial 16S ribosomal RNA
Rfam family: Bacterial small subunit ribosomal RNA
Source: RNAcentral
UACGGAGGGUGCAAGCGUUGCUCGGAAUUACUGGGCGUAAAGGGCUCGUAGGCGGCCAACUAAGUCAUACGUGAAAUCCCUCAGCUUAACUGGGGAACUGCGUGUGAUACUGGAUGGCUUGGAUUUGGGAGAGGGAUGCGGAAUUCCAGGUGUAGCGGUGAAAUGCGUAGAUAUCUGGAGGAACACCGGUGGCGAAGGCGGCAUCCUGGACCAAUAUUGACGCUGAGGAGCGAAAGCCAGGGGAGCAAACGGG